CAGACUAGAUCUUCUGUUGUUUAUGUUCACAUUAAUGAACUCCUUGCCCAUGUUCUAUGUAUGGCGGGUCCCCUGGAGGAGGGUUAAAUUGUUUCCUCUGUUAGGCUCUAUGGAAUGGAGCUCGCUAAAAAAUUUAUACAUCUCUACUUAAAUUGUAGCGGUAGGACUUAUGGAGGAGCUUAAAAGAAAAAAUUAUAUUUCUUUCUUCUUGGACAAUGCUAGGGGCUUGCUAAUUUUUUUUACUUUUAUCUUUCUCUGCUUUUAGCUAUUUAUCUCUCCUUCCUCUGGUCUCGUUAGAGCAACAAUUGGGUUUGCAUUAUUUGUUCUAGUAAACAGGGGCUUGCUAAAUUUUCUCUAUUUAUCUCUCCUCAUUCCUCUGGUUUCUUAAGAUCAAAAAUUGGGUUUGCAUUAAUUGUACUAGAAUUGUCUAGGGUAAAUUUUCUCUAUAUCUUUCUCCUUAUUCCUCUGGUUUCCAAAAGCUUUCUCUGUGAAAAAUCUCUGGUUUCUAGAAGGUUUCUCUGUAAAAAAAUCUGUUUCCAGAAGCUCUGUGUGGAAAAUCUAUAGCAAUCUCUGGUUUCCUAAAGCUUUCUCUGAGAAAUCUUUGAUUCUCAAGAGAUCUUCUGUGUGAGAAAUCUUUUGUGUGAGAAAUCUGUGAGAAAUCUUUGGUUCCCAAAAGCCUUCCUUGUGAGAAUCUGUGGUUCCCAAUAGAUCUUCUGUGUGAGAAAUCUUUGGUUCCCAAAAUCCUUCCAUAUGAGAAUCUGUGGUUUCUAAAAGGGCUUCUGGGUGUGAAGUCUUUGGUUCCCAAAAAAACCUUCUGUGAGAGAAAUCUGUGUGAGAAAUCUCUGAUUUCCAAAAGCCUUUUGUGUGAAAGUCUGUGGUUUCCAAAAGGCCAUCUGUGUGAGAAAUCUCUGGUUUUCAAAAGAUUUCCAAAAGACCCUCUGUGUGAGAAAUCUCUGGUUUUCAAAAGUUCUGUGAGAAAUCUCUGGUUCCCAAAAAUCUGUUUGAGAAAUCUCUGGUUCCAAAAGCCUUCCGUGUGAAAAUCUUUUGUGAGAAAUCUCUGGUUCCAAAAGCCUUUCGUGUGAAAAUCUAUUGUGAAAAAUUUCUGGUUCUCAAAAGGCCUUUUAUGUGAGAAAUCUCUGGUUCCCAAAAACCUUCUGUGUGAGAAACCUCUUAUUCUCAAAAGCCUUCUGUGUAAAAAUCUGUGGUUUCCAAAAAACAUCUGUGAGAAAUCUCUGGUUCCCAAAAACUUGUGAGAAAUCUGUGAGAAAUCUCUGAUUCCUAAAAGCCUUCGUGUAAGAAUCUGUGGUUCUCAAAUAGCCUUCUGUGUGAAAAAUCUCUGAUAAAAAAUGUGUGUGAGAAAUCUCUGGUUCCCAAAAGCCUUCCGUCUGAAAGUUCCAAAAGACUUUCUGUGUGAGAAAUAUGUGGUUCUCAAAAGAUCUUCUGUGAGAAAUCUCUGAUUUCCAAAAACCCAUGUGAAAAAUCUGUGAGAAAUCUUUGAGCUUUCCGUGUCAGAAUCUGUGGUUUCAUUCCAAAAAGCCUUCUGUGAGAGAAAUAUCUGUUACCAAAAACCUUCCCUAUGAAAAAUCUUUGGUUUCCAAAAGCCUUCUGUGUAAGAAUCUGUGAUUCCCUAAAGAAACCUUCUGCGUGAGAAAUCUCUGGUUUCUCUGUGAAAAAUUGUCUGCGGAUAGAGGCUUGCUGAAUUUUCUCUAUUAAAGCAAUGUCAGAGACAACUCGUUUCCGACUUGCUCGCAUUGACAACUUCUCAAAGGCGAAAGAAAAGGCCGAGUCACUGAAGGAAAUGCCAGGGGUUUCUGAUGUUAAUUUGGGCGAAGAUAGAUGGGUUACAUUCGUGCAUGAUCCCAGUACGAGUGAUACACAAAAAAUAAGAAAUCGGCUGGAAGCUAUGAAUUUGCGUAUCAUUGAGACUGUAAAUAUAAAGAAAAGGAACUGAGGAUGAAUGGAUCAAUCACUGAUGGAUAUGGAUACAAAAGAUAUAGUAGUUGAAUUUGUUUCAAUAAUUAUUAUAUUAUUUGUAGAUUUAAUCAUCAAUAUUGUACCAAUUCUUAUGAUUUGUGCUAGUGUUGAUGAGGAAUGCUUAUACUUGAAUGAAAUGUAUUUUUAUAUC
Molecule: long non-coding RNA, 2125 nt
Organism: Cryptomeria japonica (Japanese cedar)
Lineage: Eukaryota; Viridiplantae; Streptophyta; Pinopsida; Cupressales; Cupressaceae
Exons: 3
Source: RefSeq, a predicted model, not a curated record